RNAcentral lists this unclassified non-coding RNA (191 nucleotides) under uncultured Sebacina. RNAcentral describes it as "sequence contains ITS2". Lineage: Eukaryota; Fungi; Basidiomycota; Agaricomycetes; Sebacinales; Sebacinaceae. The record is from RNAcentral.
GUACUCUCACACUCCCGAUCUUGUUGGGAGCGGUGGACUUGGGUGCUGCUGCUUACGCGGCUCACCUCAAAUGGAUUCGUGCAUCUCUUGGUUGGACAUAGUACGGCGUGAUAAGUGUUUCGCCGGCGCCUCACUCGAGGGUGGCCGAUCGGGAGCUCUGUGCUUCUAACCGUCCUCGGACACACCUGACA